RNAcentral lists this ribosomal RNA (865 nucleotides) under uncultured Parvimonas sp. RNAcentral's name for it is "bacterial SSU rRNA". It matches the Rfam family "Bacterial small subunit ribosomal RNA". Lineage: Bacteria; Bacillati; Bacillota; Tissierellia; Tissierellales; Peptoniphilaceae. The record is from RNAcentral.
GACGAACGCUGGCGGCGUGCUUAACACAUGCAAGUCGAACGCUGAAGCCCAGCUUGCUGGGUGGAUGAGUGGCGAACGGGUGAGUAACACGUGAGUAACCUGCCCCCUUCUUUGGGAUAACGCCCGGAAACGGGUGCUAAUACUGGAUAUUCACUGGCCUUCGCAUGGGGGUUGGUGGAAAGGUUUUUUCUGGUGGGGGAUGGGCUCGCGGCCUAUCAGCUUGUUGGUGGGGUGAUGGCCUACCAAGGCUUUGACGGGUAGCCGGCCUGAGAGGGUGACCGGUCACAUUGGGACUGAGAUACGGCCCAGACUCCUACGGGAGGCAGCAGUGGGGAAUAUUGCACAAUGGGCGAAAGCCUGAUGCAGCGACGCCGCGUGAGGGAUGACGGCCUUCGGGUUGUAAACCUCUUUCGCUCAUGGUCAAGCCGCAGCUUUGGGUUGUGGUGAGGGUAGUGGGCAAAGAAGCGCCGGCUAACUACGUGCCAGCAGCCGCGGUAAUACGUAGGGUGCGAGCGUUGUCCGGAAUUAUUGGGCGUAAGGACUUGUAGGCGGUUGGUCGCGAUCUGCCGUGAAAUCCUCUGGCUUAACCUGGGGGCGUGCGGUAGGCUACGGGCUGACUUGAGUGCGGUAGGUGAGACUGGAACUCCUGGUGUUUGGAUGGAAUGCCCACAUAUCAGGAAGAACACCGGUGCCGAAGGCGGGUCUCUGAGCCGUUACUGACGCUGAAGAGCGAAGGGUGGGGAGCGAACAAGAUUACAUUCCCUUGUAGCUAAAGGCCAAAUCGACCAUUGAUUCAUGCUUUAUCGAUACCGCGACCACAAGAAAGAAAAUAGUACCUACUUUUUGUUCUAUUAUGAGGUUAAUA